Long non-coding RNA from Strongylocentrotus purpuratus (purple sea urchin), 702 nucleotides. RefSeq lists it as uncharacterized. The record is from RefSeq and is a predicted model, not a curated record. Lineage: Eukaryota; Metazoa; Echinodermata; Echinoidea; Camarodonta; Strongylocentrotidae. The transcript is spliced from 2 exons.
UUUAAAAAUUUAGGACUCAAAUUCUGAUCUUGUUUGCUGCGAAUUUUAGAUACACAGCGCUUAAAUAUUGUCGCAACCUUUAAGCUUGCCUUACAACCUUUGCAGUGUGUGUUAUAAUCUUUUACAGCACAUGUUAUAAACGUGCAUUGUUUGAGUUCCGCAUCAUCACUUAUGCCAUUCUGGUUUGAUCAAGCUAUUCAAUUGCCAUGUUAUUCGUGUUGUAGAUUGCAAGUGUACCAAUUUACAUGCAAGAGGUGUAUGGAGUGCUUGCUUAAAAAUUUCCAUAUUAUGGUCACAUUAUUUCACAUGCACCACUUAUGUAAUACUAGUAAAUGCAUUUUCAUAUAUAUGUAAGUGUACUCAUGCAUGUGAUUAUGUUACAAGUGAAGGCAAUUUUGGUGGGAGUGUAAAGGCACUUCAUACACCGUGCGGUUGUAAUUGUCUAUUUGGCAUUCCAUAAUUUUAUCGUCUGCGAAGAUUGUAAUUUUUGGCCCAAAACUGGGGCACGUUAUGGCGAUGGAAAAGGAAUUGCAUCGUUAAUCGGCAUAUUAUUUAUGCCUGCCUGAGACUUUGGUAACAAGUGGCACAGUGUUUUUACGGGAAUCUAAGGAACAAAGUGAAUCAGCAAGCCAAAGAGUCAGCUUUGACCAUGAUGAAGAGACUAGAUUCAAUAAAGCUGUUUUGACUAUUGUUUACCCAGUA